AAUGAACGCUGGCGGCGUGCCUAACGCAUGCAAGUCGAGCGAGAAAGUUCCUUCGGGAGCGAGUACAGCGGCGGACGGGUGAGUAACGCGUAGGAAUCUGCCCUUUAGUGAAGAAUACCCUCGAGAAAUCGGGGCUAAUGCUGCAUACGUCCCUUCGGGGAGAAAGAUGGCCUCUUUGCUGUCGCUGAAGGAUGAGCUUGCGUACUAUUAGCUUGUUGGUGGGGUAAAGGCCUACCAAGGCGAUGAUGGUUAGCCGGCCUGAGAGGGUGUACGGCCACAUUGGAACUUAGACACGGUCCAG
This 301-nucleotide ribosomal RNA is filed under the name uncultured bacterium. RNAcentral describes it as "bacterial SSU rRNA". It matches the Rfam family "Bacterial small subunit ribosomal RNA", at positions 29 to 334 of the family's 1533-position model. The record is from RNAcentral.